AAUAGAUACCCCGGUAGUCCACGCUGUAAACGAUGAGUGCUAAGUGUUAGAGGGUUUCCGCCCUUUAGUGCUGAAGUUAACGCAUUAAGCACUCCGCCUGGGGAGUACGGUCGCAAGACUGAAACUCAAAGGAAUUGACGGGGGCCCGCACAAGUGGUGGAGCAUGUGGUUUAAUUCGAAGCAACGCGAAGAACCUUACCAGGUCUUGACAUCCUCUGACAACCCUAGAGAUAGGGCUUUCCCUUCGGGGACAGAGUGACAGGUGGUGCAUGGUUGUCGUCAGCUCGUGUCGUGAGAUGUUGGGUUAAGUCCCGCAACGAGCGCAACCCUUGAUCUUAGUUGCCAGCAUUUAGUUGGGCACUCUAAGGUGACUGCCGGUGACAAACCGGAGGAAGGUGGGGAUGACGUCAAAUCAUCAUGCCCCUUAUGACCUGGGCUACACACGUGCUACAAUGGAUAGUACAAAGGGUUGCAAGACCGCGAGGUGGAGCUAAUCCCAUAAAACUAUUCUCAGUUCGGAUUGUAGGCUGC
RNAcentral lists this ribosomal RNA (531 nucleotides) under uncultured bacterium. Its description in RNAcentral is "bacterial SSU rRNA". It matches the Rfam family "Bacterial small subunit ribosomal RNA", at positions 777 to 1308 of the family's 1533-position model. The record is from RNAcentral.